Molecule: ribosomal RNA, 464 nt
Filed under: uncultured bacterium
Lineage: Bacteria
Description: partial 16S ribosomal RNA
Rfam family: Bacterial small subunit ribosomal RNA
Source: RNAcentral
ACGAACGCUGGCGGCGUGCUUAACCCAUGCAAGUCGAACGGAAAGGCCCCUUUGGGGGUACUCGAGUGGCGAACGGGUGUGUAACACGUGAGUAACCUGCCCUUGACUUCGGUAUAACUUCAGGAAACUGGGGCUAAUACCGGAUAGGAAUUCUUGCUGCAUGGUGGGGGUUGGAAAGCUUCGGCGGUUUUGGAUGGACUCGCGGCUUAUCAGCUUGUUGGUGGGGUAGUGGCUUACCAAGGCUUUGACGGGUAGCCGGCCUGAGAGGGCGACCGGCCACAUUGGGACUGAGAUACGGCCCAGACUCCUACGGGAGGCAGCAGUGGGGAAUAUUGCACGAUGGGCGGAAGCCUGAUGCAGCAACGCCGCGGGCGGGAUGACGGCCUUCGGGUUGUAAACCGCUUUCAGCAGGGGCGAAGCUUGUGGUGACGGUACCUGCAGAAGAAGCACCGGCUAACUACGUG